AGUCUUGGCUUGUUGUCGCAUUUUGGUGUUGAACUCAACGUAGGGUUUCAUGAAAGCCUCUUGUUGGAACUCUAAUACUUUAUGUAUUUUUUCAAUUUUAGACCGAGUUGGAGAUACAGUUGCAGGUUGCGAUAGUGAAGUACAUAAUUCUGUUUGUUUUCUAAAGUGAAGGUUGACUGUUUUGUAAACUUCCAUCACAUUUAGAGAGUAGAAAUACAAUGGGGGUUUGAUGUGGAAAGAUGUCUGUACGAAGUUUAUAUAACGGGUUAGAAUGUGGACUUACAUCCACCAGAAGCUUGGGGAUGUCUCGCCAGAACUUAGACAGAAUGCUGGAGAACUACGAUACAACUUCACAUUAACAUCCACUUGGUUUAACAGAUCGAGAUAGUCCAUCGAAUUCUGACCACUGAUUUGAAACUCAAUGGGAGUAUCAUCCGACACUUGGGAUAUUGGACGAAUCUCUUGAUAAUGGACAUCAUUCACCGCAACUUGUGUAGGAGAUCAUCCGGGGAUAUCGCCAUAUUGAAAACCCGCCAGAGGUUCGGUCCACGUCCAUGGUGCUCGGGAUGAGUCAUUGGAGGACGAAGAUCGGGUGUCCUUAUGCUGCCAUGAAAUGUCGUUUUUAUGAUGUCCAAUUAUGUUCAAAAAUAAACAACUUGGAGAAUGUG
This is a long non-coding RNA of Mya arenaria, 668 nucleotides long. RefSeq lists it as uncharacterized. The record is from RefSeq and is a predicted model, not a curated record. NCBI's taxonomy places the organism in Eukaryota, Metazoa, Mollusca, Bivalvia, Myida, Myidae. The transcript has 6 exons.